This 487-nucleotide ribosomal RNA is filed under the name uncultured soil bacterium. RNAcentral describes it as "bacterial SSU rRNA". It matches the Rfam family "Bacterial small subunit ribosomal RNA", at positions 26 to 533 of the family's 1533-position model. The record is from RNAcentral.
AGAGUGAACGCUGGCGGCAGGCCUAACACAUGCAAGUCGAACGGCAGCACAGUAAGAGCUUGCUCUUAUGGGUGGCGAGUGGCGGACGGGUGAGGAAUACACCGGAAUCUGCCUAUUUGUGGGGGAUAACGUAGGGAAACUUACGCUAAUACCGCAUACGACCUACGGGUGAAAGCGGAGGACCUUCGGGCUUCGCGCAGAUAGAUGAGCCGAUGUCGGAUUAGCUAGUUGGUGGGUAAAGGCCCACCAAGGCGACGAUCCGUAGCUGGUCUGAGAGGAUGAUCAGCCACACUGGAACUGAGACACGGUCCAGACUCCUACGGGAGGCAGCAGUGGGGAAUAUGGACAAUGGGCGCAAGCCUGAUCCAGCCAUGCCGCGUGAGUGAAGAAGGUCCCGUUGGGUUAGUAAAGCUUCGUUUUAGUUAGGGAAAGAAAAGCAAAGUUCGGUUAAAGUUACCCGGUUAGUUACUACGGUAACGGUAACCCG